This 342-nucleotide ribosomal RNA is filed under the name uncultured bacterium. RNAcentral's name for it is "bacterial SSU rRNA". It matches the Rfam family "Bacterial small subunit ribosomal RNA", at positions 28 to 365 of the family's 1533-position model. The record is from RNAcentral.
GAUGAACGCUAGCGGCAGGCCUAACACAUGCAAGUCGAACGGUAACAGAUCUAGCUUGCUAGAUGCUGACGAGUGGCGCACGGGUGCGUAACGCGUAUGCAACUUACCCCUAACUAGAGAAUAGCCUUUCGAAAGGAAGAAUAAUACUCCAUAAUAUUUCGCUGUGGCAUCACAGCGUUCUUAAAAGCUUCGGCGGUUAGGGAUGGGCAUGCGUCCUAUUAGUUUGUUGGUGAGUAACGGCUCACCAAGACUACGAUAGGUAGGGGGCCUGAGAGGGUUAUCCCCCANACUGGUACUGAGACACGGACCAGACUCCUACGGGAGGCAGCAGUGAGGAAUAUU